CAGUCGUCUGACAAGAUUCUGGGUAUUCUGCUCACCAGAAGGGUUAUUUUCUCUAACCAUAUUUCUGUAGGAAUGCAUCUUUUAAGUCUCCUGCUGCAUUAUUUUGACAUGACCUUCAUAUCUUUUCAGUUCAUAGUUUCUGGAAUUCUUUUUCUCGGUAUAUGAAGUGAUGUUGCUGGGUGUGCUUUUUAUAACAAACCUUGAUGGAAGAUUAGAAAAAAGCUAAUAUACCCUAUGCCUUGGUAAUUUCAGGGUCAAAAUAGAUUUUGAGUGUUGAUCUUCUUGUGCUUGCUGAUUAAUCUAUUUGACCAAGCAGCUGGUGUAUCAGAUCUAGCCGGCAGCACACUGAGCACAUUAGGAAAACAAAGAGAACGUGCGAUUAAACUAAGAAGAGACAAGAACAGCAUUUUCUCCCUGUUCUGCAUGAAGGCAGAAGAUGCUCCGAGAGGAUACCAACUCAGUUUUCUGAUUGGAACCAUGGCCUUUUUCCCCCAUCAGAUUAUUCAAAGAGUACAGUGUUAAUAAUCCUUCCCAGAUGAUGGUAUGAUGGAUGGUUACAGUUUGAUCUAUCACCUACUUCACGGCAGGUAGAACUAACGAAACAGUUAGAAGACAGAACUGCUUUCAUGACUGAGGUGGGAAGGGCUGCAGCUAUUGCAGAGAAGCGCUGCACAGAAAUGGUGAGCUUUCAGAGAGAAAAUGCCGAACUCCACCAGCUGGCAUCCUGCUACCUCCCGGUGGAUGGGUGACGUCACUGGCUGUCGCGGCUGUGCCAGCUUUUGAGUCACUGGCAGACGUAGCAGAGCCUUCUGCCUGGAGCAGCGUCGGUUGCCCCUACAGGAACUGCAAGGAUCAAAUGACAUUACAAGACACAUUUUAAAAAAGAAGAAUGGCAACAGCGUCUACCUAGAAAGCUCCUUAGCCUGUAUAUGUAUUGGAGAAACGUUAGAGCCAGUUUGAAACGGAACAUGAUACUGUGCGUGCCUUUGGUAUAUUGUCACUGGUACAUGAAUACGCCCUCCUACAAGGCUUAGAUGGCUGGAAUUAACAUAUUUGAGGUGACUCCCUGCUCCUUUAGUCCUUGGCAGACAAUCUUUAAUGGGCCCUGAACCCCCGAAAGCUCCCUGGUGCCUUUAGAGAAGCUGGCCCUCACGUGAAGGGGCUGUGCUCUUCUGCAUUCAGCCGUGUUUGGAAAAUCCAGUGAGCUCAGUGUUUGUAAGCAAGGUGUGCUGCCACAGCUGCCUAGCACAGAGGCAGCUGAUGAGUUUGACAGGCCUUGGUGAACUGCACUCACUUGGAAGGAUGGACAUAAUCGAUCACUAAUUUCUUGGGCUCAGUACCGGCUGACCUAACCUAGGUGUCUGACUUUGGCACCUAACUUGCACUUAAGUUUUAGGCCCCUGGUGAAGCAGUCUUGCUAAAGUGUCUAUGUGCUCCAUCCAUGAUGUGGGCAGAGGUAGUGGCGUACACUUACGCAGGCAGGAUGCGUCUGGGGGCCUGCAAAAGCCUUAUUCUGCUUGCUCUACAGAGCACGGGUAUUCACUUUCAGACGCCUGUCUUGUCAGGCAUCUGGAAUAGGACGGGCCAGUAGGUUAGGUGGGUUGGAUCCUGCUCUCUUAGUUCAAACUUUUUUUUUGCAGACUAGCAGUUAAUAGACAUCACUGCAAAGUAUGCAUCCACAAUGUGCUCAUGCACUGCUGCUGAGAGAGGAGUGCCUAGGUGCGCAGACACAGACAUGCUCUGUGCUGAAGGCAUUACCCAAGAUUUGUGAAAUGUACUUUGUCAUCACAGGCAAUUUUUCCUUUUGCCACCCUCAGAGCUAUGCCUUUGCUGGGAUUUAAGGAAGCCUUCAAUAUCUUGACUCAUCCCAAAGUUUAUUUAUAAAUAAGGAGGGCAGCGUACACUUGCAUGACUCCAGGUACUGCUGGCAGGAUUCUGACUGCUCAGAAGGUUUUAUUCAUUCCUAAGGAGUGGGAAUAAGCUGUAACAUUUCUAUCCAACUGAUUUUCCUAUUUUAGACAUCACUACAGCAAUAUGAACAAGAGGAACUGAAAAAGCAGAUAUAAAUAGCAGUGAGAUGUGAUCAUUUCUGAUAUUCUUGCUGAGAUUUUAUGGUGUAUUUUUUAGUCCUGAUUAUACACCUCAAGGCAGAAAACAGGCUAAAGCAGAUUUUAUAUCAAAUGUGCAAUGAACUUUAGAUUAUUUCCUUGGCCCUAUUGCUAUUUUUCCAGAGAAAAUUAGAAAAGGAAAAAAUGAUUUUUAGGGCUUAUCAUUUAGCAGAUAACCUUUCUUGGUAAAAUGGUCUUAUCUGCUGCGGUUUCUGAACAUUUGGCAUUCAUUGCUAGAAAUGUUACUACUUAUUUUUCAUUCUGAAUCCUUCUUGCUACAAAACUCAGAUCACAUCCUAUUUAUAGUCCAGUUUUGGAAAGAGAUAAACAUGGAUUCAUAGAUUCAUGUGAGAAGUUAAACAGCUACUUAAUUUUUCAAAGAAUGCCUUUUUAUGAAUCAAACCAGUUAACUUAAAUCUGUAGCUUUGUAUGUAUUCGUAGGUACUGCAGUUUGAUAAAUGCAUGAUGAAGUAAGUCACUAGCAGACUUACCUUUCGUCUCAUGUUAUCUCACGACUGAAGAGCAAACACAUGACAAAAUUUGUAGCCAAUAUUUGUUUGGGGCUGGUAGGGUGAAUCAGUCUGGAUGACAAUCAUUUCCUAUUAAAAAACUGAAAGCAUUAACUACCGUUCAGUUUAGUCUGCAGAAAAUGCUAAGUACUGAGGGACAAAUAAAAAAUGAGAUUCACAGGAGUACCAGUUAGAUUAAUCAGUUAAUGUCUGUAAAAUAUGUUAAAAUGGAGAACUAAUCAACCAAAGGUUAUUAUUACUUAUAAAGAAAUGUGUCUUCUAAUUUUAGAAAUCUCUUCAUUGGAUCAGUGGAAAAAACAAGAGCAGCCUGGAACCCAGGAAUUAAAAUCAUACUAACAGUAGAUCAAAGAAGGAACACAAAAAUAAAAGCAAAUAGCAGCACUCAGGAAGCAGUAAACAGCUCUGGCUGCCUGACAGUAACCUGAGGCUCCAUCAUGCAGAACAAAAAAUGAAAGACAAGAGCCUGAAAAUGCACUUUUUUCUCAAGACAUCUCUACAGCAAGUAUAUCUUCAGAUAUGAGAAGAGAGUUGGAAGGGUACAGAGUAACAAAUGACAAGUAAGCAAAAGCGAUAAAUGGGCGUAAAAUAAGGGAGCAAUACAAAGAUUAUACUUAAAAUCCACAUUGUUAAUUGGAAUCAAGUCACAGUUCUUUCUCUCUUGGAAAAAGAAUAGUAAUUUGUCUUCAGCUUUGGCAGAAGAACAGCAUGCAUAAGAGCAAAUAAUAUUUGAAAGUAGAACAAGCCGACAUGGCACCAAGUGAGAUAAAUGCUUAUCUCAUAAUCAUUAACUCCUGGCCUAGCUACUGCUUUGCAUUGCCAAAAAAUCAGGAGUUGGAUAGGAAUUAUGUAGGCUAAAAUAAUAAUUCUAAGGAGCAGUAUCAGAAAAGAGUUGCAACUGUAUUUGCCUGUGAUUACUAAAGUACUAUAAAAACAAAGAGCAUCUCCUCUUGGUGGUCCUAAAUCAGUGAUUCACUGUGGUAACUUCUGAUUUUUGCUGCAGAAGUAGCUAACGUCCAUGUUAUUCAGGAGCCAAGUGGCCAACUUCUGUUAGAUAAUCUCCUCCAUCAUUAUGUGUCUGAAUAGGAAAGACCUACUGUUCCUAGAAGGGAGACAAAGUGGUUGCAGUGGCUUCCAGAAGACAAAUCAAAAGUGUUCUGGACUCCUGCCUCAGCAUGAAGCUGAUCUAGUGUCAAGUCAUCUAUUUAGCAAGAUAACCAUCUGUCCAGAGUAGGUUUGGUGAGGUAAUGGUUUUAUUAAUUUCUUAUAAUAAGAUGAGCAGGCAUAAGGCUGCCUGUGGCAUUCAGAGAUUAGUAUUCGACCUUUACUAAAUUAUUUGCCUUCAUUUCUGGUGCAAAGCCUGAUGAUUUUCAGUGCGUCAGAGGUGCUACCGGGUGAAUUUUCCUAGGGCUUUGCAGUGAGAACAAGAAGAUGUCAGGGUGGUAGGUCUGAACUCAUUUUCACACCUGCAGAAUAAGCACUUUUUAAUCAUACAGGCUGAAGCAAGGAAAGGCCAUUUCCUCUAGACUGUUCUACACUGCAGGUCAUUGUGUGCCAUCCACAUGCUCUUCUAACUUUCCUGGACAAAACUAAACUUGCUGAAAAGCUAUCUGCUUGAUUUGCAUAAGCUAUCACUUUCUUUGGUAGGUUGUCCAAAAGUUGCCACCCCCACUGUUUAAAAAAGGUAACUUGCUCCUUACUUGAAUUUUCUUCUUAAAUUUCCACCCACUAGUUUUGCCUGUGACUUUCUCCUCGAGCUCAAAAGGGCCUCUAGGACUCAGUGUUCUCACUGCUUAAAGGAGUCUCAUCAAAUGUUUCUUCGCUAAGCUAAGCAAAUCAAACUCCUGAAGCCUCUCUUUUUCCAACCCUGGAAUCAUUUAUACAGGUCUUAUCUGCACUCUCUUCAGGUUUUCAGCAUCUUUUCAGAAAUGUGGAUGUCAAAAUUGGACAGAAUUACCGUGUAAGCAAUGGCUUCUAUAUUAGUGGAGAAAACAACAACAACGACAAAACCCAAAAUGUUGUGUUAUGUCUUGGAAUAGAUUUUAAGAUAAAUUCAAUCUCCAGCAUAAUCAGUAGCUAAGUAACACAAACGAGGAAAAAACAGCUUGUGCACCUUUAAGAUGUAGGGCUUGUAAAGCACGGUGAUAAAUCAUGAGCAGGACUUAUACAUAAAACGUGGGGAAUGCUGCAAACGCUCCUGAUCACGAACAAUAUAAAUCCACACUAAAAUACUUUAAGGAUAUCCCCUCCUUUUGUUUUCCAAAAGAAAUUCCAAUAGCAUGGCCCAUCGUCUCAAAGGAUCAUGCUAUGGACAUAUCCACAGGUGCCUGCAGUCUUACGUGCAGAAUGGUUGACAGGGACAUGCAUGGUAACAUGCAUAUUUUACGCAUGCAUGUACUUUCACUUCACCGGCACCACUUCACGGCUUUGAGUAUUUUGUAUUAAAGGCUUAAUCUGCCAUUUCACUUUACUUCUCUGGUCUUCCUCUAGAAGUUAGUACACAAGCAAAGAUUUGGAGAUAAGUUAAUUGGUGUCAGCUCUAUUGUCUAUUAAAUAUUCCCAGGCUGCCGUCAUCCCCUGACCAUCCUGAUCAUCAGGCAUUUGCCACCACCAAUUAACUUAGCUGAAUAAACAAGCAAGAAAGGAUGGUAUGUAAACUGAGACUUGCAUGCUCCAGCUCAUAAUACUCACCCAUUUCCU
This is a non-coding RNA of Struthio camelus australis, 5335 nucleotides long. The record is from RefSeq and is a predicted model, not a curated record. NCBI's taxonomy places the organism in Eukaryota, Metazoa, Chordata, Aves, Struthioniformes, Struthionidae.